Molecule: ribosomal RNA, 388 nt
Filed under: uncultured bacterium
Lineage: Bacteria
Description: bacterial SSU rRNA
Rfam family: Bacterial small subunit ribosomal RNA
Source: RNAcentral
GACGAACGCUGGCGGCGUGCUUAACACAUGCAAGUCGAGCGGUAAGGCCCUUUCGGGGGUACACGAGCGGCGAACGGGUGAGUAACACGUGGGUGACCUGCCCUUAGCUCUGGGAUAAGCCUGGGAAACUGGGUCUAAUACCGGAUAUGACCUCAUGACUCAUGUUGUGGGGUGGAAAGCCUUGUGCGGCUAGGGAUGGGCCCGCGGCCUAUCAGCUUGUUGGUGGGGUGAUGGCCUACCAAGGCGACGACGGGUAGCCGGCCUGAGAGGGCGACCGGCCACACUGGGACUGAGACACGGCCCAGACUCCUACGGGAGGCAGCAGUGGGGAAUCUUGCGCAAUGGGCGAAAGCCUGACGCAGCGACGCCGCGUGAGGGAUGACGGCCU